RNAcentral lists this transfer RNA (73 nucleotides) under Xenopus tropicalis (tropical clawed frog). RNAcentral describes it as "tRNA-Tyr (GTA) (tRNA-Tyr-GTA-20-1)". It matches the Rfam family "tRNA". Rfam says of the family: Transfer RNA (tRNA) molecules are approximately 80 nucleotides in length. Their secondary structure includes four short double-helical elements and three loops (D, anti-codon, and T loops). Further hydrogen bonds mediate the characteristic L-shaped molecular structure. tRNAs have two regions of fundamental functional importance: the anti-codon, which is responsible for specific mRNA codon recognition, and the 3' end, to which the tRNAs corresponding amino acid is attached (by aminoacyl-tRNA synthetases). tRNAs cope with the degeneracy of the genetic code in two manners: having more than one tRNA (with a specific anti-codon) for a particular amino acid; and 'wobble' base-pairing, i.e. permitting non-standard base-pairing at the 3rd anti-codon position. Lineage: Eukaryota; Metazoa; Chordata; Amphibia; Anura; Pipidae. The record is from RNAcentral.
CCUUCGAUAGCUCAGCUGGGAGAGUGGAGGACUGUAGAUCCUUAGGUCGCUGGUUCGAUUCCGGCUCGAAGGA